Long non-coding RNA from Rosa chinensis, 523 nucleotides. RefSeq lists it as uncharacterized. The record is from RefSeq and is a predicted model, not a curated record. NCBI's taxonomy places the organism in Eukaryota, Viridiplantae, Streptophyta, Magnoliopsida, Rosales, Rosaceae. The transcript is spliced from 3 exons.
GGAAACCUUGACUUACAAAGUCUUCUCCUCUUCCUAUGCAGCACCAAUAUUGGUCAUUUGGUCUUGGCCUUAAACAUUGGGGCAGCCUUGAUUGCUUAAAAGAAGUUUGCUUCAAGAGGGUAGAUGCUAAAUGAUCUGUAGGAGAUCAAUCAAAUCAGGCAAGAAUUUGAAGUAGGGAAUAUGCUUUACUGGCUAUAGGUUAGAUUUUAUAGGCAGUGCAGGUUCUAUGCUUCAUCCCCCAAGUUCCUGAUGCCAUUUCUCUAGAGGACUGUGUUCCUUCCAUGUUUCUCAAUUAUGACGGCUCUACCUUUAGUGGCUAUCAGUCGCAAUAUCAAGCCUGACCAAGAAUUCUAAAACCACUCCACAAAUUUUACUCUUCCAAAAAGGUAUUAUUAGUCUAGGCUUUCUUUCAUUUCACUUAUGCCAAUUAAUUCUGCCUUGUAUUAGUUUACAUAUCUUAUUAAAGACAAUAUCUUCAGUUUGUUGCAUCGAAUUUAAAUAUGGGUACUUCUUUAUAGUAAAA